CAUUACAAGUGAGGCUACCGAACGUUGGAAACAGCGGUUAGGAGCUUACACCCACCCGUGUUUACAUACUAUUGUUGCUUUGGCGGGCCGUGGCCUCCACUGCGGGCUCUGCUCGUGUGUGCCCGCCAGAGAACCAAACUCUGAAUGUUAGUGAUGUCUGAGUACUAUCUAAUAGUUAAAACUUUCAACAACGGAUCUCUUGGUUCUGGCAUCGAUGAAGAACGCAGCGAAAUGCGAUAAGUAAUGUGAAUUGCAGAAUUCAGUGAAUCAUCGAAUCUUUGAACGCACAUUGCGCCCUGUGGUAUUCCGCAGGGCAUGCCUGUUCGAGCGUCAUUUAACCACUCACGCCUAGCGUGGAGUUGGGGCACGCGGUCUCCGCGGCCCUCAAAAUCAGUGGCGGCGCCGGUGGGCUCUAAGCGUAGUACAUACUCCCGCUAUAGAGUUCCCCCCGGUGGCUCGCCAGAACCCCCAAUUUUUUACAGGUUG
Molecule: ribosomal RNA, 486 nt
Filed under: uncultured fungus
Lineage: Eukaryota; Fungi
Description: eukaryotic LSU rRNA
Rfam family: 5.8S ribosomal RNA (bases 180-333)
Source: RNAcentral